RNAcentral lists this ribosomal RNA (439 nucleotides) under uncultured bacterium. RNAcentral's name for it is "bacterial SSU rRNA". It matches the Rfam family "Bacterial small subunit ribosomal RNA", at positions 28 to 449 of the family's 1533-position model. The record is from RNAcentral.
GAUGAACGCUGGCGGCGUGCUUAACACAUGCAAGUCGAGCGAAGCACUAAAGCGGAUUUCUUCGGAUUGAAGGUUUAGUGACUGAGCGGCGGACGGGUGAGUAACGCGUGGGUAACCUGCCUCAUACAGGGGGAUAACAGUUGGAAACGGCUGCUAAUACCGCAUAAGCGCACAGUACCGCAUGGUACGGUGUGAAAAGCUCCGGUGGUAUGAGAUGGACCCGCGUCUGAUUAGGUAGUUGGUGGGGUAACGGCCUACCAAGCCGACGAUCAGUAGCCGACCUGAGAGGGUGACCGGCCACAUUGGGACUGAGACACGGCCCAAACUCCUACGGGAGGCAGCAGUGGGGAAUAUUGCACAAUGGGGGAAACCCUGAKGCAGCGACGCCGCGUGAGCGAAGAAGUAUUUCGGUAUGUAAAGCUCUAUCAGCAGGGAAGAA